GUGUUUGUGCUGCUAUGCAUGCGUGGGUGUGAGAAUAUACGUACAUCUCCAGAAGGGUUGGUCUAAGUAAAUAAUUGAGAAGGUGCAUGCAGCGUAUUUAAACAUUAAAUACAUUGGCUUUCGAAUUCAGUGCAACUAUCGAAACCUGCGUUUGGCUUCAACUGCUGCAUAUUUAAAGCGAAAUCACUAGCAAUCUGCAAAUGCUGAGUAAAAAUUACACAAGCCCCAAUUAUUGACAGACCACCUAAGCUUGCCAGCUUUUCCCUUUGUGGAGCUCAGAUUCAUCUUCCUCCCACGCAGGACUGCUGCUUGUUUCAAUCUGAGUGUAAAGUCUUGACAUCAGAAGUGCUGACUCAUGAAACGGCAAGGAAGGAAAAUUUCUGUCGCUGCUGCAGUGCCUGAAGUCGGGUGGAUUUACCCCACCGUGCCUUCUCCUGCCCUCCUCGCUCCAGCCUCUGCCCCGCGUCUGGCCUCCGCAAACCCCAACCUGCCGCUGGGAAAGAGCACGAAGGUGAAAGGCCGCUGCUGUCAGGACUAUCCCUUCCCAGCAUUUCCCUGGCACUGCGAUGAGUUAUCUCUGCUUUUCUUUGGGGUGGCUGUCUGCGGUUUGUUAUGCGCAGUUUAAAUAGAAGCAAGGACCUCUGGAAAUGGCCUUUUUCCUCAGAAGCUGGUGUGCUACCUACUAGCUCUUGGGUAAAAGGAUGAGAGAACCCUCCACCUCUUCCUCAAAGGAAAGGUGUUUCAGGAUGGAUGCUGACAGCAGCCGAGAAACAUUUGGCACAGCUCAGGAAAAGAAGUGCAAAGGUGACAGUCUCCUUUACCAGCUAGCUGGGGCCAGCUCAGCCUGCACCACCUGCCAGCAGACCCAACUGCGCUAGGACAGCCAGCCCCUCCUCGUCUUUGGAUUCGUCU
This is a long non-coding RNA of Grus americana (Whooping crane), 912 nucleotides long. RefSeq lists it as uncharacterized. Lineage: Eukaryota; Metazoa; Chordata; Aves; Gruiformes; Gruidae. The transcript has 4 exons. The record is from RefSeq and is a predicted model, not a curated record.